GUGAGGAAUAUUGGUCAAUGGACGAGAGUCUGAACCAGCCAAGUAGCGUGCAGGAUGACGGCCCUAUGGGUUGUAAACUGCUUUUAUAAGGGAAUAAAGUGAGUCUCGUGAGACUUUUUGCAUGUACCUUAUGAAUAAGGACCGGCUAAUUCCGUGCCAGCAGCCGCGGUAAUACGGAAGGUCCGGGCGUUAUCCGGAUUUAUUGGGUUUAAAGGGAGCGUAGGCCGGAGAUUAAGCGUGUUGUGAAAUGUAGAUGCUCAACAUCUGAACUGCAGCGCGAACUGGUUUCCUUGAGUACGCACAAAGUGGGCGGAAUUCGUGGUGUAGCGGUGAAAUGCUUAGAUAUCACGAAGAACUCCGAUUGCGAAGGCAGCUCACUGGAGCGCAACUGACGCUGAAGCUCGAAAGUGCGGGUAUCGAACAGGAUUAGAUACCCUUGUAGUCC
Molecule: ribosomal RNA, 445 nt
Filed under: uncultured bacterium
Lineage: Bacteria
Description: bacterial SSU rRNA
Rfam family: Bacterial small subunit ribosomal RNA
Source: RNAcentral